AUAGCACCCCCAAUCCUCUCUCUCUAGUUCGACUCAGACUCUCUCGUCGCUCCUCACUCUCUCUCUCGUCGCUCCUCACUUUCUCUCUUUACCCCCCUCUUUCUCUCUCUAGCUCGACUCAGACUGGUCUCUCCUCGCUCUUCAAUGGAGAGCUUGAUCUACCAAAAUUAUACUACGAACACAGUCCCCGUUGGAGUUUGAUUUGGGAGCCAAAUCCACAUCUGAUUCGCCAAAACAGGCCAACAAUCAUCGACGUUAUCUCCAUUUUUGUCCACUGCAAUUUCUUCAAUCGCAUUGCUUAUAGUUGCCACUUUAAGGACACAAAUAUGGAUAGGAGUUGGAUUCAUACGUCAAGGUACAUUUUUUAGAAUAUUCUUCCUUCCAUUUUAUAUGGUUUAUAAGCUUAUAACACAUGUUUAACGAGUUAACUUUUCUUAUUUUUAUUCCGUGUUCGGUAAUAUUAGAGUGAGCGAAGACUACGUAGAAGGAGUUGGAAACUUUUUGGAUUUUGCAUUUUCUAAUGCAGCUAAAGAGGGGAUGAUCUUAUGUCCAUGCACUAAGUGUAGUAAUUGCUUUUGGAAGAAUCGUCAAGAAGUAUUAAAUUAUGUUAUUGUAGAUGGAUUUCUUAAUAAUUACACAUGUUGGGUGUUCCAUGGGGAGAGAAUCCCUUCAAGAGAUCUUAAUAACGUAAUAGAGCAUGAGGACUUAGACCUACAAGAUGACUUACAAGGGAUGUUGCAUGAUGCAUUUGGAGUUAGAAGUCCUAACGAUGAGUGGAUGAUCCGAUGUAUGACCAUGAGCACAUCCCACAACAAGUGGCCUAUUAUUCUGAUCCCAUACAAUGUGUCCUAGAAGAUCUGCAUGAAGCAACCAAAUUUCAUCAUGUCACUACUCAUUCCAGGACCUCGAUGGCCAGGAAUUGAUAUUGAUGUGUAUUUAUAACCUUUGAUAGAAGAGUUCACGGAAUUAUGGGAGGUUGGUGUGGACACAUUUGAUACAGUAAGUAAUGCCAUGUUUAAAAUGAAAGCAGCAGUGCUUUUGACUAUUAGUGAUUUUCCAGCAUCUACAGACUUGUCUGGGUGGGGUACUAAGGGCAAAUUGGCAUGUCCACCUUGUAACAAAGGACACAAGUUAUUUAUGGUUGGAAAAUUGUCAUAAAUAUUGUUAUUUGGGUGAUCAUCACUUCCUUGAUUCUAAUCAUAGGUUUCGGAGACAAUCCUUCUAUGGUACUCAAGAAUGGAGAGAUCCUCCUAAUUUGAAUUGUGGGAUUGAUGUGUUAGAACAAUUACAAGGUCAAAACAUGACAUAUGGUAAGCCAAAUCGUGAUAAGGAUGGGGAAAGGGGGUGAAAGAAAAAAUAUCAUAUAUAAUUGGAAAAAGAGGAGCAUCUUUUUUGAGUUGGAGUAUUGGAAGUCUAAUUUGAUUCACCACAAUUUGGAUGUAAUGCACAUAGAAAAGAAUGUAUGUGAAAGUUUGGUUGGAACACUUCUGAAUAUAGAAGGAAAAACUAAAGAUCAUCUCAAGGCUCGUCUUAACUUACAAAAUAUUGGCAUAAGACCAUCUCUCCACCCAAUUCAGCAAGGAGGGAACAAGACAUAUUUGCCUCCUGCAUGUUUCUUUUUGUCUGGAGAAGAGAAAUGGAUGUUUUGUACCGUUUUGAAGCAUGUUAAAGUCCCAGAUGGAUGUGCAUUAAAUAUUUCACGAUGUGUGUAUCUCAACGAUUAUAAAAUAUCGGGACUCAAGAGUCACGAUUGUCAUAUUUUGAUGCAACAAUUACUUCCCUUGGCUAUACGAAAGGUUUACCUAGGAAUGCGGCUGCAAGUUUGAUUGAAUAAUGUCGGCUAUUCAGGGAGUUGUAUUUAAAAGUUGCACAUCCUAAGGAUUUCGAGGAGUUAGAAGCUCGAUUUGCACUAGUACUUUGUCACUUGGAGAUGAUUUUUCCACCCUCCUUUUUGACAUAAUGGUGCAUUUGACUGUUCAUGUAGCAAGGGAGGCAAGACUUAGUGGACCUGUACACUAUCGAAAUAUGUAUCCCAUUGAGAGGUAUUUAUUAAUUAUUUGAGGUAAUUAAUUUUCAUAUAAUGUUCUUUGAAUUGUAAUCAAACAUAUUUAAGAUUAAUUCAAUUGUAUACUUAUAGGUACUUAUGUAGACUUAAGGGUUAUGUACGUAAUAGAAGUCAUCCAGAGGGAUCAAUUGUUGAAGGAUACCUAGCUGAGGAAUGCCUAACAUUUUGCUCUAGGGUACUUGCAUGUUGUUGAGACAAGGCUAAGUCGCCCAAUAAGGAAUUUUGAAGGUAAUGAUGUUGACUCAGGUAGAUUUAAAGGGUCGUCCUCUUGGAAAGACUAGCAUGGUUGUGUUGAAACAGAUGAAUUAACACAAGCACAUCGAUAUGUAUUGUUCAACUGUGAAGCAAUUGCCCCAUUUCAGAUGUAAGUUGAUUCUUUAAUGCUAUAAAAAUGUCAUAGCAAUGUCAUUACAUAGUAUGACUUACAAGCCUUAUGUAAAAUCCAGAAAACAUAAAGAUGAAAUUAUGGCAAACAGUCAUAGAGCACGACCAAGGGAAGUACAACGCAUGCAUAAUGCAACAUUUCUGAAUGGUUUAAGAAUCAUGUAAGAAUUUGACAUUGUUGACCUUAAUUGUCAUAUUAGUUUAAUUAUAUAAUUUAACAGGUAGGUGUUGAAUAAUAUCAAGCUUUUCGAGUUCAAGAGAUAGGAACCCUAUUGACGGAGAUGUCGCUUAUUACGGCGUUCUGAAUGAUAUAAUUCAAAUAACAUAUUCUACAUAUUUGAAGGUUGUAUUAUUUAGGUGCAAUUGGGUUGAUGUUUAAAACCAUGGUAGGGGAGUUAAGAAAGAUCCAUAUGGUUUUGUAUUGGUGAAUCUUUCUCGACAAUGUCAUACCGAAUCUUAACCAUUUGAUGAACCUUUUGUGCUGGCAUCUCAAACUGAACAAGUGUUCCAUACACAAGAUCUAGUGGAGCCUGAUUGAUAUGUGGUUACUAAGUUUAAACCACGAGAUUAUUUUGAAGAAGAAGGUGAAGAGGUGGUUGAAGAUUCAGACAAAUAUUGGCAAAGUGAGCCAAAUCACAGUCAGUACUUAGAGGAUUAUGAACCUGAAAGGGAUGAUGAUAUUAGGUGGGAUAGGUUGGAUCUGGUUAGGACCACAAUUAAUACAUCAAUGGUAUUAAAUCGGAGGCCUAGAGUGGAACAAGGAGAUGACAACAUGUCUUCUGAAGAUGAUGAAGAUAUAUAAUUGUAAUUAAAAAGCACCAAGAUGUUACUUCAAUCUUCAAUUCAGUGCUUUGGAACUACUUCUCCUCAUUGACAUGUCUAUUUUCUCUUUCUACACUUCUCCAUUUUAAAACCCUCUCUCUCUCUCCCCAAUAUAUAUAUAUAUAUAUAUAUAUAUAUAUAGUGUUCUGGGUUAUUCCUUUUUCUGUUUUUUAAGUAACAAUUGCAUACACUCUCUCUCACACAUAACUGUGAGUGCACCUGAGACAUUUUGGCUCUCACUUGUUCACUCCAUUACUGUUGAGGUAUAAUAUAUGUUUCUCAUUUAUUCUCUUUGCAAAUAAAUGAAUAGCUCCAUUGUCUAUGUAUAUAGAUUUGCAUGUAUAUGUAUAUGUCUAUAUCUAUAUCUCUGUCUUUAUUUCUUUUAUAUAAUAAGUGUAUGUGGAUUUUGAUUACUAAAAGAAGUAAGAUAACAAUACAAGGAAAAAACAUUCUAAAUAACAAUUUAUGUGUUUUAAAAUUUUUAUAUUUUAAUUUAUUUUGGCAUUUGGAAGUUUAAUUAUAGUGUUAAGACAACUUAUAAAUGAUGUAACAUUUUCCUCAUUAAGGCUUUAAUUCUAUUUACUUUUGUUCAUAAAAUGGUAAGAUGUCUACUUAAGCCGCAAUGCUUACAUGCUUUUGUUUGGUUGGCAGGAAAGUUUUUCCUUCUUUUUUCUCAAAUAUUGUUGAACUUAUCUGAAUAUAGCUUUUAUUACAAUGUUUAAUCCUCUUUGUUAUAUUCAAAAAAUUUAAACAUGUCAUUCUUAUAAAAUACUCCAUCGAGAUUUGAAACCUAAGAAUUUGCUUAUAGAUAUUGACAUCAAGGUUCAAAAAUUUCUUUUUCUUUUAUUGAUUUUAGCAAGAAAAGUUGUAACAUUUUCAGGAAAUAUGUGGAGUACUACAAAAGGCAAAUGUACAAAGGGCAACACAUGAGACACUACACUAGCAACCUCAUAUGGUCCAACCAAGUUCUAGUGGACAGUUAAGGCCAUCUCAAAAUUGUAUUACUGCUGAAACUGAAGAAAAUAUGAGGCAUAAUAAGAAAGCCAAAUGUAUUAAGGGUGUCAUGACUAGUGGGGCACAACAGUCACUUCACCAGCAACGGAUUCAUCAGGUUGGCUCCAUGCAAACACUGUGAGAUAUAUUUUUGUAAAUUGUUAUAUUUCGGUAACAAAACAAGUUCUAGUCGAGUUGUGAAUUCAGUUACCAUAUCAAACUCGACAUCGACUGCGGAAUUGGAAGUUUGUUCAGAAGAGGAAAGUACUUUUGAUCAUUGAAAAGGCAAGAACAACACAUUAGGACUUCGUUUCCUACUUAAGACACAAAUACUUAUAUGGUAUAUUUUCAGAGUUCCAAAAAUACAGAGAAUCCAAGUUCAAGUGGAUUCUGUCAAGUGGGAACCGGUACUUGAAUUUGGGAACCGGUUCUAGAAGCUAAGAUUCGAGAACAACUCUCUGUCCUUUGGGAACCGGUACCAAGAUUGGGAACCAAUUCCAGAUGUCCUGAUUGCAAAAGGUUUACAGCUUCCUUGUUCUGUUUGAUUCCUUUUUGAUCCAACUUUCCUUUCUAAUCCUAUGCAUGAAAUUUUCAUUAUUUUCAAAAGGAAUAGGACUUUACAAACCUCUAUAUAAACCAUGUCAUAUACAUUGGUUUAUUUACAGAUUUUGAUCUACGAAUUCAUUAUUCUUAAAAGCCUUAGGAAGAUUAUUUUUGCAGAAAAUCAGAGUUGAAUUUUUUGACAUCUUUCUAGAACACAUACACAUAAACACACAGAGUUUGUGAGUUUAGAGUUGUGGUAUUCAAAUCCUGAUCGUGAUCAUACAGUUGCAUCUACAUCGAUCAGAUGAAAGCAGAUCUACUUCUACAUCGAAUUAAGACGAUUAAAGAAUAGAAAUAAAAGCAAUCACACUUUGAAAGGGUUGGAGUAUUCAAGGAGUGUUGUCUAAUCUACCUGCUACUCUUCUACAAAUAUCAAGCAUAAGCCUGAGGUCAAGUUGCUGUUGGACGGGGAGUUACAAAGCCAAAGAAUUGUCAGCAGUUGGUGUUUAGUAGAACGAUAGGGUGUGAGCCAGAGUCAAAAUUCGGUAUACUUUGUUUCAAGUAUAAUGGAUUGGUUUACUUUAGACUGCACAGUUCAUGAGGUUUUUCCUAUAACAGUUGACGUAUUUUAUCAACUGGGGUUUCUUCGCUAAAAAUCAUGGUGUCAUCUCUAACUUUAUACUUUAUUUUAUUUUAUCUAUAUAUGAUUAAUUGUUUAAUUGGUGCCCUGACAUAAGGGGCAGAUCUGAGGAAGAUUGUACGUUUGUUGCUUUUAAUGAAUUGGGGCAGCCCAUUGAGGAAAAAGGCAAAAUUUGGUUAAUUUCUGGGUACUACAGAAUAGAGCAGCGAGCUACUACCCUUACAUUUUACAGAUUGGAGGAAUUUACCUGAUCUGUUUAAAGAGGAGGUCUGUAAAAUAGUCUUGGAAAAGUUUUUUACUCCAGAGUAUGCUAAAUCAUGGGUACUGAAAUCGAUUGGUAGGAAAUGGAGUAAUUUUAAAUCUAAUUUGAAGAGAAAGCAUUACAAGAAAUAUGCGACAGAUAUAGAGCGACAGAUAGAUCGUGAUGAUCAAGUUCUGCCAGAGCAGUGGUAUUACCUAAUUCAAUUUUGGAACUCAGACAAAGGACAGGAGCGUAGCAAUACUAAUACCAUCAGUCGUUCUAAGCAAAAAUAUAAUUACACAGAAGGGUCAAAAAGCUUUGCCGAAUACGCGAGGAAGAGCGUAAGAAGAGGCCUAAUGGAGAGGAACCAACUCGGGCAGAGAUGUAUAUACUAGCGCGCACGUUGAAGAAUGGACAACCAAUGGAUGAAGCAUCUGCAAAAAUUAUUAAAAAGCUUAAAGAAUAUGCAACUCAGCAACCAAAAACUUCACAACAUGGUGCUGCUAGAGAUGACAUCUUUUCCCAAGUUGUUGGGGAAGAUAGACGUGGCCUGGUUCGCACAUAUGGCUUGGGUCCCUCUUCGUCAGAUCUGUGGGGGGGCUGUGGUAAGACUAUUUUAAGCCUACCAAAAAAAUUAAGCCAAAAUAACAUUACUAUUCAUUAUAUUCAUACAAAAAAUUUUAGGCAUUGAUUUUUAAUUUUUUUGGAAAAUAAUAUUGGUUGAAAUUGAUUAUCUAUUCCACUAUUAGGUCUU
RNA transcript from Cornus florida, 6442 nucleotides. RefSeq lists it as uncharacterized. NCBI's taxonomy places the organism in Eukaryota, Viridiplantae, Streptophyta, Magnoliopsida, Cornales, Cornaceae. The transcript is spliced from 7 exons. The record is from RefSeq and is a predicted model, not a curated record.